RNAcentral lists this ribosomal RNA (460 nucleotides) under uncultured bacterium. RNAcentral's name for it is "partial 16S ribosomal RNA". It matches the Rfam family "Bacterial small subunit ribosomal RNA", at positions 338 to 795 of the family's 1533-position model. The record is from RNAcentral.
CCUACGGGAGGCAGCAGUGAGGAAUAUUGGUCAAUGGACGAGAGUCUGAACCAGCCAAGUAGCGUGAAGGAUGACUGCCCUAUGGGUUGUAAACUUCUUUUAUAUGGGAAUAAAACGUUCCACGUGUGGGAUUUUGUAUGUACCAUAUGAAUAAGGAUCGGCUAACUCCGUGCCAGCAGCCGCGGUAAUACGGAGGAUCCGAGCGUUAUCCGGAUUUAUUGGGUUUAAAGGGAGCGUAGGUGGAUUGUUAAGUUAGUGGUGAAAGUGUGAGGCUCAACCGUAAAAUUGCAGUUGAAACUGGCAGUCUUGAGUAUAGUAGAGGUGGGCGGAAUGCGUGGUGUAGCGGUGAAAUGCUUAGAGAUCACGAAGAACUCCGAUUGCGAAGGCAGUUCACUGGACUGCAACUGACACUGAGGCUCGAAAGCGUGGGUAUCAAACAGGAUUAGAUACCCUAGUAGUC